Molecule: long non-coding RNA, 2276 nt
Organism: Mangifera indica (mango)
Lineage: Eukaryota; Viridiplantae; Streptophyta; Magnoliopsida; Sapindales; Anacardiaceae
Exons: 4
Source: RefSeq, a predicted model, not a curated record
UGUACUUUCAUUUGGCCCCAUACCACCUACUCACUUCACUUUCUAUCCUCUAGCGUCUCGCCCGUCUCAGAAAACCGCGGGAAUUCAAGGUCUGCUUACAGUCAAUAUAAGACAAUCAAACAAUUCAACCUUUAGUUGACAGUCUCAACAGAAUCCCUUCUCAAAUCCAUAACCGAUUCUUUGAUUUCUAACCAUUCAGAAAUAUACCGGUCAACGGUUUCACUCUCUAACAAACAAUUAUUCCCCGUUCAGAUGCCAAUUUCGAUCCCCGCAAUUUUAGGGUUCCAAUUCUCUUAUGUGCCUCCCCGUCUAUCCUGCUUUACUGCCGUCACUGUCUUUCGUCACCGUCCAAUCACAAUGCAGCAAGGGCUGUAAUGCUUUAGCCUCUUACUGCGUUUGGCAAGGCCCAAUCUUCACCUUCAUUGCUCAAACCCUGCAUUCAACUCUUAUUGAACCGUCAGAUGUCGAUUUCAAUGUGAUAUUAAGUUACAACAAUAACAUAACCAACAAAGACAGUCUCCCUGCCGAUGUAAGAAUCAACGUCCCAUUCCCCUAUGAUUGCAUCAAUGGUGAAUUCCUCGGCCACGUGUUCUGGUGACACUUACGAUGAGAUUGCCCACGGAGUGUUUGAGAAGUGUUAAUAACUAUGAUACCUAUGGGAUUCCUGACACUGGGACUCUUAAUGUGACAGUGAAUUGCUGAUUUUGACUUAAUUAUUGGAAAAUGUAGGAUCUUUAUGGAAUUAAGAAGGCGAAUAUGUUUCCCUGACAAGAUGAAAAUGGUGUCUAUCCAGCCCUCAAGUCGUUGUGUACAGUGUUUCUUGUGACAGUGUAUUAGGAGGAAUGCCAAUGAUUGCCUAUUAGGGAAGAAACAAAAGGCAAUGCUGAUGAUUUUUUUUGUGUCUUCAGGGAGGGAUCCUCUAACAUGGUCUUCUAGGGUGAAAAUUGCACAUAAUUCCACAAAAGGCCUUGAAAUGUAUUCAUGAACACACAGUUCCUUUUUAUAUCCAUCACGACAUAAAAGCAGCAAUUAUAUUAAUAGACAAGAACUACCAUGCAAAGGUUACGGUUGUGUCUCAGUAGCCAAGGUGACAUCUGAGAGCCUGUCACAUUGUGUUACUGAAUAAUUUGUGUUGCAGGUUGCAGAUUUUGGAUGAACAAAAGUGACUGAAGUUGAAAGUGCAUCACUUCCCACACCUCUUGUGGGCACAUUUGGAUACAUGCCUCCAGACCCUGAUCUGAAUCAAAUAUAUGACCCAAGGAGCCAAGGCCCUUUACAUGAAUGUUUAGUAACUAUAAGAUGUUAAUCUGAGCUAUAGUUCUGAGAAGGGACGCAAUCAAGGUGAACUGAGCCAGAUUUUACUGCAUUUAAGCUUAGCUCAAUUUGUUCAUUACCUCAUAAAAGCUAGAGCUUUAGCUGAGCCUAGAAAAUACGUUCAAGUUUAUUUCCGCUGAAUUGAAGUUAAAAAGCCUGUGAAGGUGACUAUUGAAUUAUGUGUUCUUGCCGGUAUAGACUGUUAUGCUAUUUAUCCAUGAUUUAGAGCUUUCUUUGUUGGCUUUUAACUUAAAAUGUAUUCAUGUUUGAGCUUUUAGGUUCUGAAAUUUGAUUAUUCUUUGUUGUAUUAGUUACUGCAACAAAAAGGGAAUUGGUUCAUUUCAAAAGAUGAGCUUGGCUUUUACCGUCUCCAAAAGAUGUAUUUCUUGUUAAAAGAAGUGAUUAAACUGUUGGCAUGCUUGUGCAGAUAUGCCCAAUAUGGUGAUGUUUCUCCCAAGACAGAUGUAUAUGCCUUCAGGGUUGUCCUCUAUGAACUUACUUUUUCCAAAGGAGCCAUAGUCCAGGCAAUGGUUCUGCUGCUGAAUCAAAGGGCCUUGUUGCUUUGUUUGAUGAUCUGAAUUUACCUGGUCCUAUAGAGGAUCUGCAUAAACUUAUUGACCCUGGGCUUGGUGAUAACUAUCCAUUUGACUCAGUCUGAGAACAUUUUUGGGGAAAAUAUGUUAUGAUUCUGUUUUAUGUUUUCUGAUUUGUAACCUUGGUGCCUUUAUUUACUGCAGAUGUCUCAGCUUGCUAAGUAUGUUCCCAAAAAAGUCCGCAACCAUGUCCUAGUAUGAGAUCCAUUAUUUUUGUGCUUUCCUCUACAACAGAGGAUUGGGAUAUCUGCUUCUUCUAUGAAAAUUAUGCCCUAGUCUAAGGUCAGGAAGGUUGAGAAAAUGCUGUCAUACUUAUGAAUAAUUACCUACCAAGUAAUUCCACUGUUUCUCAUUUUUUGUAAGGCCAAA